AACUCUUAGUGGUGGAUCACUCGGCUCAUGUGUCGAUGAAGAACACAGCCAGCUUUGAGAAUUAAUGUGAAUUGCAGGACACAUUUAUCAUCGACACUUCAAACGCACUUGUAGCCCCUUGGUUCCUCCUGGGGCCACGCCUGUCUGAGCAUCA
Ribosomal RNA from Alligator mississippiensis (American alligator), 154 nucleotides. It matches the Rfam family "5.8S ribosomal RNA". Rfam says of the family: 5.8S ribosomal RNA (5.8S rRNA) is a component of the large subunit of the eukaryotic ribosome. It is transcribed by RNA polymerase I as part of the 45S precursor that also contains 18S and 28S rRNA. The record is from Rfam. NCBI's taxonomy places the organism in Eukaryota, Metazoa, Chordata, Crocodylia, Alligatoridae.